This 238-nucleotide unclassified non-coding RNA is filed under the name Rhizophagus sp. (in: glomeromycetes). Its description in RNAcentral is "partial contains 5.8S ribosomal RNA and internal transcribed spacer 2". The stretch from base 1 to 65 matches the Rfam family "5.8S ribosomal RNA", at positions 84 to 154 of the family's 154-position model. Lineage: Eukaryota; Fungi; Glomeromycota; Glomeromycetes; Glomerales; Glomeraceae. The record is from RNAcentral.
GUGAAUCAUCAAAUUUUUGAACGCAAAUUGCACUCUCUUCGGAGAGUAUGCCUGUUUGAGGGUCAGUAUUAAUAAAAAUCGGUGUGUUGCUUCUUUGUGACGCUCCGGAGUUUGGGUCAUCUUAAUACCCUUUAGGUUUUAAGAGGCUUAAAAUUGACUUUUUUUUCCCCUUUUUGAUUUUCCUUAAUUUUUUUUUUUUUUUCUUUUUUUUUAUUCCCAAAAUCCCUAUAAAUUCCAC